AGUUCAGAAAUCAAUAUUUGGUGGAAUAACCCUGGUUGGUUUUUAAACACAUUUUUUUUUUCAUGCAUCUUGGCAUCAUGUUCUCCUCCACCAGUCUUACACACUGCUUUUGGGUACACCAGGUCAUAUCAUGUGAUUUAGUAUCUGUUAUAAUAAGUGGCUCCGGUUCGUCUCAGAUCACCUAUAGAACUGAUUUGAGUGACUGGUUUAAGUGUGUUUUGGGUUCACUUUUGCACUUUUAUGUGGUUAAUCAGGAUUAUCAUAAUCAGUGUGCGUGAAGUGAUUAGCAUCGUCAUGCACAAACCUUGUAUCUCCAUUUUUGAGAUGCUUUGCUAUUUUUAAUUUAUUGGCAUAAAGUGACUUGUAAUGAUUUCACGAUAAAGGGACCAAUAGAAAUGCUCCAAUGUAAUCUAUGCACAUUUUCUUCUAUUGAAAGUUAAGAUGUUGUUUUUUUCCUGGAGGUUUUUACCUGCAGUGACCUUUUCGUGAGAUUAAAUGAAGCAGAAAGCCCAUUAUUUAUUUAUUCCUACACAAUGCACCUUUAAUUCAGUCCACAUCCCAGCACGGGCUGCACCGAUUGGCUGUGGAGCUGUUGGGGAUGAGGAAGGAAGGAGUUUCUCCUGAGAUUGAGUGUCUUUAAUUUGAUGAAAUUUCAUCGGAUUGUUUAACUUGAUCUCUACGGUUCUGUUCACACCUGGCAUUAACGUGCGUCCGGGUCACCUGAUCUCUAACUAUUGUUUAAAUGUGUCGCCGUUCACACCUUUUGUUUUAAAUGCGUCUCCGGUGUCGGCUCGUGAUCAGAUUCCUGUUAAAAUAAUUCCUAUAUACGUCAUAAUUAGCCCACAUUGAAACAAGGCACCUAGUUUAGCUUGUGCUUAGACCUGUCACAAUAUGAAUGUUUUUGUGGACUAUAUAUUUUUAUCAUUUUAAAACCAUUAAAUGCCAUUAAAAUAAUAGUAAUAACAGAAUAUCAUAAAAAAUCAAUCAUACACUUUUAAAGACAUUAAAAAUUAAAUGAAUCAUCAAAUAAACACAAUAGACGAUGUCACGAUUAUCAAAUAUUAUUGAGGACGAUAAAUCGAUAAUGUAAUUAUUUGGACAGGCCUACUUGUGCUUUAUCCAGCAGUGCGUUAAUGCAGCAGGUUCAUCUAACCACCACGGAUGGUGGACGGUAUUUCAGUUUCCGAAUAAAAAUAUUUAAGUCAUUUAGAGCAUUUAUUUACAGAAAAUGAGAAAUGGCUGAAAUAACAAAAAAGAUGCAGAACUUUCAGACCUCAAAUAAUGCAAAGAAAACAAGUUUUAAGAGUUCAGAAAUAAUCAAUACAUAUAUCAGUUUUCCUGGCAUCAUGUUCUCCUCCACCAGUCUUACACACUGCUUUUGGAUAACUUUAUGCUGCUUUACUCCUGGUGCAAAAAUUCAAGCAGUUCAGUUUGGUGGUUUGAUGAUCUCUUAUCUAAUAUUUUUUUUCCAGAGCUGAAUUUCUUUUUUCUUUUUUUUUUUUAGGGAGGAUUAGGAUUGUGUGUGUGUGUGCGAGUGUGAGUGUGUACAAGCGAAUAUCAUGUAAUGUGUGUGUGUGUGUGUGUGUGUGUGUGGUUUGAAAGUGGUGAACUCAUGUUUACAGUAAUCCUGCUGCACCUUUUUGCACUUCCAUCCCCCUCUGUUUUUGUUUCUGGUGUUUUCAGACGUUCAGACCUCCUGAUUUUUCGUUUCUGUGAUUUGUGUCAUGGUUUUUCCUCUAAAGUUACAGAUAAAGAUCCGGUUUACUCUGAUCCCGUUCUCUGCAUAUAUACACCCUUUGGUAAAGGGGUUUAUCUCUCUGGUUUUAUGAAUCUAAACUGUUACAUAUUUAAACUAAACUCAAUCUGCCAUAUUGAAUAAUCUAUUAUGUGAAACUUGUUUGUAUUUUUUUAAUGUUGAUGUUUUUUCUGAACUGCUGAAUCACCAGCAGCACCCAGUGCCUUAUUCUCUAACAAAGAAAACUCUACUUUUUACAGAAUAUUGUACGUUUUUAAUGCACUGUAAUGUAAUAUACUUUGUAUAAAUAAAUAUAAAUAAAGAAUUAGAUGCAUA
Molecule: long non-coding RNA, 2071 nt
Organism: Astyanax mexicanus (Mexican tetra)
Lineage: Eukaryota; Metazoa; Chordata; Actinopteri; Characiformes; Acestrorhamphidae
Exons: 2
Source: RefSeq, a predicted model, not a curated record